RNAcentral lists this long non-coding RNA (654 nucleotides) under Phoenix dactylifera (date palm). Its description in RNAcentral is "long non-coding RNA (PDAC_LNC004771)". Lineage: Eukaryota; Viridiplantae; Streptophyta; Magnoliopsida; Arecales; Arecaceae. The record is from RNAcentral.
GUUAGUUUUCAGAUCUGAAAAUUAUAAUUGUUGCAUAUGGUGAUGAUCAUAGGAUUCAAACCCUUUUGGUAUCAAAUGUAAUGACCUGCGAUGUGAUCUGCGAUGUCAUGUAAUUUUUUAGAUGCUUGCAUGCAUCUUAUUUGAUGUUUUGAGAGGCCUGCGUGCCUCCUAAAAGGAGAUGUAAUUUAUUUUUAUUUUUAUUUUUCAUCUGGUUGUAUUUCUGUGAUGUGAUGUACAUCAACGAUCAAGUCGAAGACGAUGCAUGAGAUGAACAGGGGUCUAAGCGGUUGAUGGCGAUUGGAUCAAGAGUUGGUCAAGGAUCGAAUCAAGGAGGCUUGGAACCAAUUCAAGAGUUGAAGACCAGUUGAUCGAUUGACGUGCAUGUGCUUGUAAUACGACCUAACUAGAAUCCAUGAUCAUCACCUAUUUAAAGUUUAGCUUUAAUUUGAUGCUGCGAUUAUAACUGCCCGUGAUGUGCCGUUUGCAUGUGAUGUGAAUGCGAGUCGGGUAGAUAGGUUUACAUGUGAUGUAGCAAAUCCAAUUGAGACCUAAAUCAAAACCUCCUCAAUCAAGUCGAGAGUGAACCGACAUGAGCAAGUCAUAUUAGAUUAAUUGAUCUAAUUGGUGUCUAGGAAAGCAUGAAAGGUGGUUACU